RNAcentral lists this non-coding RNA (23 nucleotides) under Arabidopsis thaliana (thale cress). Lineage: Eukaryota; Viridiplantae; Streptophyta; Magnoliopsida; Brassicales; Brassicaceae. The record is from RNAcentral.
ACCAAGGAGUCUGACAUGUGUGC